AACGCAAGUUGCGCCCGAGGCCUCUUGGCCAAGGGCACGCCUGCCUGGGCGUCACGCCAAACACGCUCCCACCCCUCAUCGGGUUGUGGGAUGCGGCAUGUGGCCCCCCGCCUCGUAAGAGUCGGUGGGCCAAAGAUGUGGCUGCCGGCGUAUCGUUCCGGACACAGCGCGUGGUGGGCGAACUCGCUUUACUUAUCGCAGUGCGUCCGGACCGUAGCCGACGUGAUGGCCUUAAGGACCCUAUGAACGGGGCGCAUGACGCUCCGACCGCGACCCCAGGUCAGGCGGGACUACCCGCUGAAUUUAA
RNAcentral lists this unclassified non-coding RNA (307 nucleotides) under Parmelia sp. RNAcentral's name for it is "partial contains 5.8S ribosomal RNA, internal transcribed spacer 2, and large subunit ribosomal RNA". Lineage: Eukaryota; Fungi; Ascomycota; Lecanoromycetes; Lecanorales; Parmeliaceae. The record is from RNAcentral.